This 236-nucleotide ribosomal RNA is filed under the name Acinetobacter baumannii. RNAcentral describes it as "partial 23S ribosomal RNA". It matches the Rfam family "Bacterial large subunit ribosomal RNA", at positions 1 to 237 of the family's 2925-position model. Lineage: Bacteria; Pseudomonadati; Pseudomonadota; Gammaproteobacteria; Moraxellales; Moraxellaceae. The record is from RNAcentral.
AGUCAAGUAAUUAAGUGCAUGUGGUGGAUGCCUUGGCAGUCAGAGGCGAUGAAAGACGUGAUAGCCUGCGAAAAGCUCCGGGGAGGCGGCAAAUAUCCUUUGAUCCGGAGAUGUCUGAAUGGGGGAACCCACCUACUUUAAGGUAGGUAUUGCAACAUGAAUACAUAGUGUUGCAAGGCGAACGAGGGGAAGUGAAACAUCUCAGUACCCUUAGGAAAAGAAAUCAAUUGAGAUUC